RNAcentral lists this ribosomal RNA (370 nucleotides) under uncultured bacterium. RNAcentral's name for it is "bacterial SSU rRNA". It matches the Rfam family "Bacterial small subunit ribosomal RNA", at positions 28 to 394 of the family's 1533-position model. The record is from RNAcentral.
GACGAACGCUGGCGGCGUGCUUAACACAUGCAAGUCGAACGGUGAUGCGGAGCUUGCUCCGCGGAUCAGUGGCGAACGGGUGAGUAACACGUGAGUAACCUGCCCUCGACUCUGGGAUAAGCGUUGGAAACGACGUCUAAUACCGGAUACGACCCGUGGAGGCAUCUCCUACGGGUGGAAGAAGUUUCGGUCGAGGAUGGACUCGCGGCCUAUCAGCUUGUUGGUGAGGAAUGGCUCACCAAGGCGACGACGGGUAGCCGGCCUGAGAGGGUGGACCGGCCACACUGGGACGUGAGACACGGCCCAGACUCCUACGGGAGGGCAGCAGUGGGGAAGUAAUUGCACAAUGGGCGCAAGCCUGAUGCAGCAA